This 445-nucleotide ribosomal RNA is filed under the name Hepatozoon fitzsimonsi. Its description in RNAcentral is "SSU rRNA". It matches the Rfam family "Eukaryotic small subunit ribosomal RNA", at positions 489 to 929 of the family's 1831-position model. Lineage: Eukaryota; Apicomplexa; Hepatozoidae. The record is from RNAcentral.
CCCAGCUUAAAUGUUUUGUAUUGGAAUGAUAGAAAUUUAAACACUUUUUAAAGUAUCAAUUGGAGGGCAAGUCUGGUGCCAGCAGCCGCGGUAAUUCCAGCUCCAAUAGCGUAUAUUAAAAUUGUUGCAGUUAAAAAGCUCGUAGUUGAAUUUUUGCUGGAAAUAACCGGUCUGCUUUUAUUAAUAAGAGUGGUAUCUUGGUGUGUUUUUAGCAAUAAUGUCCUUUGAAAUGUUUUUUACUUUAUUGUAAGAAGCAAUAUUCAGGAUUUUUACUUUGAGAAAAUUAGAGUGUUUCAAGCAAGCUAACGUUUUGAAUACUGCAGCAUGGAAUAAUAAAAUAGGAUUUUGGUUCUACAUUAUUGGUUUUAAGAACUAAAUUAAUGAUUGAUAGGGACAGUUGGGGGCAUUUGUAUUUAACUGUCAUAGGUGAAAAUUCUUAAGGAUG